CCAAUAGCGUAUAUUAAAGUUGUUGCAGUUAAAAAGCUCGUAGUUGAAUUUCGGGAUUGACGUGACGGUCGUGCCACCGGUACGUACUGGUCUCACUGAUUCCUCCUUCCUGAUGAGCUGUAAUGCCAUUAAUUUGGUGUUGCAGGGAAUCUGGACUGUUACUUUGAAAAAAUUAGAGUGUUUAAAGCAGGCUAACGCUUGAAUACAUUAGCAUGGAAUAAUGAAAUAGGACGUUCGAUCCUAUUUUGUUGGUUUCUAGGAUUGACGUAAUGAUUAAUAGGGAUAGUUGGGGGCAUUAGUAUUCAAUUGUCAGAGGUGAAAUUCUUGGAUUUAUUGAAGACUAACUACUGCGAAAGCAUUUGCCAAGGAUGUUUUCAUUAAUCAAGAACGAAAGUUAGGGGAUCGAAGACGAUCAGAUACCGUCGUAGUCUUAACCAUAAACUAUGCCGACUAGGGAUCGGAUGAUGUUAAUUUUUUAAUGACUCAUUCGGCGCCUUACG
RNAcentral lists this ribosomal RNA (500 nucleotides) under uncultured Glomeromycotina. RNAcentral's name for it is "partial small subunit ribosomal RNA". It matches the Rfam family "Eukaryotic small subunit ribosomal RNA", at positions 591 to 1092 of the family's 1831-position model. Lineage: Eukaryota; Fungi; Glomeromycota. The record is from RNAcentral.